ACUGGGGCGGUCUCCUCCCAAAGCGUAACGGAGGAGCACGAAGGUUAGCUAAUCCUGGUCGGACAUCAGGAGGUUAGUGCAAUGGCAUAAGCUAGCUUGACUGCGAGCGUGACGGCGCGAGCAGGUGCGAAAGCAGGUCAUAGUGAUCCGGUGGUUCUGAAUGGAAGGGCCAUCGCUCAACGGAUAAAAGGUACUCCGGGGAUAACAGGCUGAUACCGCCCAAGAGUUCAUAUCGACGGCGGUGUUUGGCACCUCGAUGUCGGCUCAUCACAUCCUGGGGCUGAAGUAGGUCCCAAGGGUAUGGCUGUUCGCCAUUUAAAGUGGUACGCGAGCUGGGUUUAGAACGUCGUGAGACAGUUCGGUCCCUAUCUGCCGUGGGCGCUGGAGAAUUGAGGGGGGCUGCUCCUAGUACGAGAGGACCGGAGUGGACGCAUCACUGGUGUUCGGGUUGUCAUGCCAAUGGCACUGCCCGGUAGCUAAAUGCGGAAGAGAUAAGUGCUGAAAGCAUCUAAGCACGAAACUUGCCCCGAGAUGAGUUCUCCCUGAGACUU
This 551-nucleotide ribosomal RNA is filed under the name Klebsiella pneumoniae. RNAcentral describes it as "partial 23S ribosomal RNA". It matches the Rfam family "Bacterial large subunit ribosomal RNA", at positions 2273 to 2823 of the family's 2925-position model. Lineage: Bacteria; Pseudomonadati; Pseudomonadota; Gammaproteobacteria; Enterobacterales; Enterobacteriaceae. The record is from RNAcentral.